Molecule: long non-coding RNA, 491 nt
Organism: Arabidopsis lyrata subsp. lyrata
Lineage: Eukaryota; Viridiplantae; Streptophyta; Magnoliopsida; Brassicales; Brassicaceae
Exons: 3
Source: RefSeq, a predicted model, not a curated record
UAACAUUGCCCCUUUUUGCUUGCCAUUUUUAAAAAUACCCCUUAAUUAAUUCAAAUAUGACCAAAGUACCCUUGCUUUCAUAACCUAAGAUCUGCACGGUUCUCUCAACCAUUCUCUCUCUUUCUCUCAUUUCGAUCGGCGACGAUUUUCCGAUCUCGAUUCCGAUAUCUCGAUUCCGAUAUCAAAUCGGCGUCUCCUUUCGAUUUCGCUUUCUAUCGGUGCGUCUCCGUCUCCGUCUGUGUUUUAUUUCGAUCUGUCCCACAUCGAUUCCAGAUGUCUAACAAUGACUCAUUGGAUGUGCUUAACCUACCGCCCCGUAUAUAUAAUCCCGGGUUUGAACCAAACAUUGGAGCUGUUGUUAUUCAACAUUUCGAAACGCAUUUGGUCAAAAAAGUUGAGCUCGCACUAGGGGAGGAACAGUUUAAUCUAAUUAAAGCCUCUUUCCUUGGUCCUAUUAUUGAACUAGCAAAAAGAAGUGGAGUUAAUUUUUC